Molecule: ribosomal RNA, 452 nt
Filed under: uncultured Sphingobacteriales bacterium
Lineage: Bacteria; Pseudomonadati; Bacteroidota; Sphingobacteriia; Sphingobacteriales
Description: bacterial SSU rRNA
Rfam family: Bacterial small subunit ribosomal RNA
Source: RNAcentral
CGGGUCGCAGCAGUAAGGAAUAUUGGUCAAUGGAGGCAACUCUGAACCAGCCAUGCCGCGUGCAGGAAGAAGGCCCUAUGGGUCGUAAACUGCUUUUGUACCAGAGAAAACCCGAGUACGUGUACUCGGUUGAUAGUAUGGUAAGAAUAAGCAUCGGCUAACUUCGUGCCAGCAGCCGCGGUAAGACGAAGGAUGCAAGCGUUAUCCGGAUUCAUUGGGUUUAAAGGGUGCGUAGGCGGACUGAUAAGUCAGUGGUGAAAUCUCUCAGCUUAACUGAGAAACUGCCAUUGAUACUGUUAGUCUAGAGUAUAGAUGACGUUGGCGGAAUAUGACAUGUAGUGGUGAAAUACUUAGAUAUGUCAUAGAACACCGAUUGCGAAGGCAGCUAACGAAACUAUAACUGACGCUGAGGCACGAAAGUGCGGGGAUCAAACAGGAUUAGAUACCCCUGU